ACAGGGAUUGCCCUAGUAACGGCGAGUGAAGCGGCAACAGCUCAAAUUUGAAAUCUGGCUCUUUCAGAGUCCGAGUUGUAAUUUGCAGAGGGCGCUUUGGCGUUGGCAGCGGUCCAAGUUCUUUGGAACAGGACGUCACAGAGGGUGAGAAUCCCGUACGUGGUCGCUAGCCUUCGCCGUGUAAAGCCCCUUCGACGAGUCGAGUUGUUUGGGAAUGCAGCUCUAAAUGGGAGGUAAAUUUCUUCUAAAGCUAAAUACUGGCCAGAGACCGAUAGCGCACAAGUAGAGUGAUCGAAAGAUGAAAAGCACUUUGGAAAGAGAGUCAAAUAGCACGUGAAAUUGUUGAAAGGGAAGCGCUUGCAGCCAGACUUGCCUGUAGUUGCUUAUCCAGACUUUUGUCUGGUGCACUCUUCUAUAGGCAGGCCAGCAUCAGUUUGGGCGGUUGGAUAAAGGUCUCUAUCACGUACCUCUCUUCGGAGAGGCCUUAUAGGGGAGACGACAUACAACCAGCCUGGACUGAGGUCCGCGCAUCUGCUAGGAUGCUGGCGUAAUGGCUGUAAGCGGCCCGUCUUGAAACACGGACCAAGGAGUCUAACAUCUAUGCGAGUGUUUGGGUGUCAAGCCCAUACGCGUAAUGAAAGUGAACGGAGGUGGGAACCUUUUAGGUGCACCAUCGACCGAUCCUGAUGUCUUCGGAUGGAUUUGAGUAAGAGCAUGGCUGUUGGGACCCGAAAGAUGGUGAACUAUGCUUGAAUAGGGUGAAGCCAGAGGAAACUCUGGUGGAGGCUCGCAGCGGUUCUGACGUGCAAAUCGAUCGUCAAAUUUGGGCAUAGGGGCGAAAGACUAAUCGAACUAUCUAGUAGCUGGUUCCUG
Molecule: ribosomal RNA, 873 nt
Filed under: Ophiosphaerella taiwanica
Lineage: Eukaryota; Fungi; Ascomycota; Dothideomycetes; Pleosporales; Phaeosphaeriaceae
Description: partial large subunit ribosomal RNA
Rfam family: Eukaryotic large subunit ribosomal RNA
Source: RNAcentral